AUCUAGGUAGCUCAGUGGAUAGAGUACUGGCUUGGAAUCAGAAAGAUCUGAAUUCAAAUUUGUGCUCAGAUA
This 72-nucleotide transfer RNA is filed under the name Sarcophilus harrisii (Tasmanian devil). It matches the Rfam family "tRNA". Rfam says of the family: Transfer RNA (tRNA) molecules are approximately 80 nucleotides in length. Their secondary structure includes four short double-helical elements and three loops (D, anti-codon, and T loops). The record is from Rfam by way of RNAcentral. Lineage: Eukaryota; Metazoa; Chordata; Mammalia; Dasyuromorphia; Dasyuridae.